This 951-nucleotide ribosomal RNA is filed under the name bacterium. RNAcentral describes it as "bacterial SSU rRNA". It matches the Rfam family "Bacterial small subunit ribosomal RNA", at positions 94 to 1060 of the family's 1533-position model. The record is from RNAcentral.
AGUGGCGAACGGGUGAGUAACACGUGAGUAACCUGCCCUUGACUCUGGGAUAAGCCUGGGAAACUGGGUCUAAUACCGGAUAUGACCUUUCACCGCAUGGUGGGGGGUGGAAAGCUUUUGUGGUUUUGGAUGGACUCGCGGCCUAUCAGCUUGUUGGUGGGGUAAUGGCCUACCAAGGCGAUGACGGGUAGCCGGCCUGAGAGGGUGACCGGCCACACUGGGACUGAGACACGGCCCAGACUCCUACGGGAGGCAGCAGUGGGGAAUAUUGCACAAUGGGCGGAAGCCUGAUGCAGCGACGCCGCGUGAGGGAUGACGGCCUUCGGGUUGUAAACCUCUUUCAGUAGGGAAGAAGCCGUGAGGUGACGGUACCUGCAGAAGAAGCGCCGGCUAACUACGUGCCAGCAGCCGCGGUAAUACGUAGGGCGCAAGCGUUAUCCGGAAUUAUUGGGCGUAAAGAGCUCGUAGGCGGUUUGUCGCGUCUGCUGUGAAAGACCGGGGCUCAACUCCGGUUCUGCAGUGGGUACGGGCAGACUAGAGUGAUGUAAGGGAGACUGGAAUUCCUGGUGUACGGUGAAAUGCGCAUAUAUCAUGAGGAACACCGAUGGCGAAAGCAAGUCUCUGGGCAUUAUCUGACGCUGAGGAGCGAGAGCGUGGGGAGCGAACAUGAUUAGAUACCCUGGUCGUCCAUGCCGUAAACGUUGGGGACUAUGUGUGGGGGGACAUUCCACGUUUUCCGCGCUGUUCUAACGCAUUAAGUGGCCCCUCCUGGGGAGUACGGCGCUACGCGUAAACUCAAAGGAGUGACGGCGGCGCGCACCAGCUGCGCAGCAUGAUGUAGUAACUUCGAUGCUAUCGCGAGACCUACAAGCGUCGACAUGAUCUGUAACGCUGCAGAAUGUAGAUGUCGCUUCGCGGCUGAGCACAGCUAGUGCAUGAUGAUCGUCAGCU